RNAcentral lists this ribosomal RNA (253 nucleotides) under uncultured bacterium. RNAcentral describes it as "partial 16S ribosomal RNA". It matches the Rfam family "Bacterial small subunit ribosomal RNA", at positions 524 to 776 of the family's 1533-position model. The record is from RNAcentral.
UACGGGGGGGGCGAGCGUUGUUCGGAAUUACUGGGCGUAAAGCGUGCGUAGGUGGUUUGUUAAGUCUGAUGUGAAAGCCCUGGGCUCAACCUGGGAACGGCAUUGGAAACUGGCUUACUAGAGUGCGGUAGAGGGGUGUGGAAUUCCCGGUGUAGCAGUGAAAUGCGUAGAUAUCGGGAGGAACAUCUGUGGCGAAGGCGACACCCUGGACCAGCACUGACACUGAGGCGCGAAAGCUAGGGGAGCAAACGGG